Molecule: ribosomal RNA, 441 nt
Filed under: Ligilactobacillus ruminis
Lineage: Bacteria; Bacillati; Bacillota; Bacilli; Lactobacillales; Lactobacillaceae
Description: bacterial SSU rRNA
Rfam family: Bacterial small subunit ribosomal RNA
Source: RNAcentral
CCUACGGGAGGCUGCAGUGGGGAAUAUUGCACAAUGGGGGAAACCCUGACGCAGUGACGCCGCGUGAAGGAAGAAGGUUUUCGGAUUGUAAACUACUGUCGAUAGGGAAGAAGAAAGACAGUACCUAAAGAAGAAGCUCCGGCUAACUACGUGCCAGCAGCCGCGGUAAUACGUAGGGAGCAAGCGUUAUCCGGAAUUAUUGGGUGUAAAGGGUGCGUAGACGGGGAAACAAGUUAGUUGUGAAAUCCCUCGGCUUAACUGAGGAACUGCAACUAAAACUAUUUUUCUUGAGUGCAGGAGAGGUAAGUGGAAUUCCUAGUGUAGCGGUGAAAUGCGUAGAUAUUAGGAGGAACACCAGUGGCGAAGGCGACUUUCUGGACUGUAACUGACGUUGAGGCGCGAAAGCGUGGGGAGCAAACAGGAUUAGAUACCCUUGUAGUC